AGUGAACGCUGGCGGCAGGCCUAACACAUGCAAGUCGAGCGGCAGCGCGGGGGCAACCCUGGCGGCGAGCGGCGGACGGGUGAGGAAUUCGUCGGAAUCUGCCUUUUUGUGGGGGAUAACGUAGGGAAACUUACGCUAAUACCGCAUACGUCCUACGGGAGAAAGUGGGGGACCGCAAGGCCUCACGCAGAGAGAUGAGCCGACGACCGAUUAGCUAGUUGGUGGGGUAAAGGCCCACCAAGGCGACGAUCGGUAGCUGGUCUGAGAGGAUGAUCAGCCACACUGGGACUGAGACACGGCCCAGACUCCUACGGGAGGCAGCAGUGGGGAAUAUUGGACAAUGGGCGCAAGCCUGAUCCAGCCAUGCCGCGUGUGUGAAGAAGGCCUUCGGGUUGUAAAGCACUUUUGUCCGGAAAGAAAUCCCUGGAGCUAAUACCUUCGGGGGAUGACGGUACCGGAAGAAUAAGCACCGGCUAACUUCGUG
Molecule: ribosomal RNA, 484 nt
Filed under: uncultured bacterium
Lineage: Bacteria
Description: partial 16S ribosomal RNA
Rfam family: Bacterial small subunit ribosomal RNA
Source: RNAcentral